CAGCCACUUCUCGAAGUCGAUGUCUGACAUCAUCUCAUUGUAGAUUUUGAGAUCAUCUUCAUAUAUUCUAUCGCCCAUAAGAAAUAUUUUCUCUAUUUUUUCUAUCAAAAUAUCUAAGUAUCUUUUAAGAAGAUAGAAAAUCCUACUUGAUCUAUGAUAUGGAAGAGGAAGUACAUGUAUUGGCUCAACGUGAAUAUGUUCUAUAGGUUCUAUGACUC
RNAcentral lists this long non-coding RNA (218 nucleotides) under Elaeis guineensis (African oil palm). Its description in RNAcentral is "long non-coding RNA (EGUI_LNC018342)". The record is from RNAcentral. Lineage: Eukaryota; Viridiplantae; Streptophyta; Magnoliopsida; Arecales; Arecaceae.